Molecule: ribosomal RNA, 1343 nt
Filed under: uncultured bacterium
Lineage: Bacteria
Description: 16S ribosomal RNA
Rfam family: Bacterial small subunit ribosomal RNA
Source: RNAcentral
GACGAACGCUGGCGGCGUGCUUAACACAUGCAAGUCGAACGGAAAGGCCCUGCUUUUGUGGGGUGCUCGAGUGGCGAACGGGUGAGUAACACGUGAGUAACCUGCCCUUGACUUUGGGAUAACUUCAGGAAACUGGGGCUAAUACCGGAUAGGAGCUCCUGCUGCAUGGUGGGGGUUGGAAAGUUUCGGCGGUUGGGGAUGGACUCGCGGCUUAUCAGCUUGUUGGUGGGGUAGUGGCUUACCAAGGCUUUGACGGGUAGCCGGCCUGAGAGGGUGACCGGCCACAUUGGGACUGAGAUACGGCCCAGACUCCUACGGGAGGCAGCAGUGGGGAAUAUUGCACAAUGGGCGGAAGCCUGAUGCAGCAACGCCGCGUGCGGGAUGACGGCCUUCGGGUUGUAAACCGCUUUCGCCUGUGACGAAGCGUGAGUGACGGUAAUGGGUAAAGAAGCACCGGCUAACUACGUGCCAGCAGCCGCGGUGAUACGUAGGGUGCGAGCGUUGUCCGGAUUUAUUGGGCGUAAAGGGCUCGUAGGUGGUUGAUCGCGUCGGAAGUGUAAUCUUGGGGCUUAACCCUGAGCGUGCUUUCGAUACGGGUUGACUUGAGGAAGGUAGGGGAGAAUGGAAUUCCUGGUGGAGCGGUGGAAUGCGCAGAUAUCAGGAGGAACACCAGUGGCGAAGGCGGUUCUCUGGGCCUUUCCUGACGCUGAGGAGCGAAAGCGUGGGGAGCGAACAGGCUUAGAUACCCUGGUAGUCCACGCUGUAAACGGUGGGUACUAGGUGUGGGGUCCAUUCCACGGGUUCCGUGCCGUAGCUAACGCUUUAAGUACCCCGCCUGGGGAGUACGGCCGCAAGGCUAAAACUCAAAGGAAUUGACGGGGCCCCGCACAAGCGGCGGAGCAUGCGGAUUAAUUCGAUGCAACGCGUAGAACCUUACCUGGGUUUGACAUGGAUCGGGAGUGCUCAGAGAUGGGUGUGCCUCUUUUGGGGUCGGUUCACAGGUGGUGCGUGGCUGUCGUCAGCUCGUGUCGUGAGAUGUUGGGUUAAGUCCCGCAACGAGCGCAACCCUUGUUCACUGUUGCCAGCACGUUAUGGUGGGGACUCAGUGGAGACCGCCGGGGUCAACUCGGAGGAAGGUGGGGAUGGCGUCAAGUCAUCAUGCCCCUUAUGUCCAGGGCUUCACGCAUGCUACAAUGGCUGGUACAGAGAGUGGCGAGCCUGUGAGGGUGAGCGAAUCUCGGAAAGCCGGUCUCAGUUCGGAUUGGGGUCUGCAACUCGACCUCAUGAAGUCGGAGUCGCUAGUAAUCGCAGAUCAGCAACGCUGCGGUGAAUACGUUCCCGGG